UCCAGCCAGGAAGGAAAGGUCUUGCUUUGAAGUCUGUCUUUUCUUUUCUUGCUACCUAAAUCUAUCCUAAUUGGCAGUAAAUUAAUUUUCCCCAAGUAGAGUAUGUUUCACCUCUGACAAUAAUUGGUUAUCUGAAAUGGUAUCAGACACUUAUAUUUAAGCAACUGAAUAUCCCAGUUGUACUGUGUCAGUCUCACUCUCUGAAUCAAAUUACAUACAGAUUCAAACGUGACUGUCUAAGAAGGAGACUUCCAUGUAUCCCUUUUCUGUACCUGCAAACAAGGCGCUUCCUGCCUUCAGCUCUUGGUGUGUCUGUGGUGGCUGUUCACUAUGUGGAGUCCAUGUCCACAGCUGGAGGAGAAUCGGACAGCAACUUUAGCAAGCCUUCAUGAAGCUCAGGAAAUGGAAAAUGGACAGAAUCAACACUGAGCAGCUGCUUUUAUAGUCUAAGAUAAAAGUAGAAGGAGUUAUGAGCACUGUGUAAGAUAAUGAACCUCUGUAUAAACUACCUGCCUGAGAGAUACGUCUAUAUGUUAAUAAGGCAAAUAUACAGGGACAAGCCAUGCUGAGUACUCUGUUUCACUUUUUUCUGUGCCUUUUUUUUGGCUCUGUGAAUGCUCUGAUGAGAUCUUACCUAUGUCCUGUCUGGGUGGGAGUCAAUUCUUCCUCCAAAUUGUCUGCUGUUAUCCUAGCAGGAGAUUUGCCUAGUAGAUACAAAUUAAAAAUAAGACAAGGGUUUCACAAAAUUUCUGUUUGGAUUAUAACCAUGUGGUUUUCACAGUUCUUCAAGAUUAGCUUUGUACCAGUGUAACUACAUCUAAUUUAGAGAAGUUGUUCUUGA
This is a long non-coding RNA of Pezoporus flaviventris, 841 nucleotides long. RefSeq lists it as uncharacterized. NCBI's taxonomy places the organism in Eukaryota, Metazoa, Chordata, Aves, Psittaciformes, Psittacidae. The record is from RefSeq and is a predicted model, not a curated record. The transcript has 3 exons.